Panthera uncia (snow leopard) is the source of this 1040-nucleotide long non-coding RNA. RefSeq lists it as uncharacterized. Lineage: Eukaryota; Metazoa; Chordata; Mammalia; Carnivora; Felidae. The record is from RefSeq and is a predicted model, not a curated record. The transcript is spliced from 4 exons.
GCAUGCGCAUCUGCGCAUCGCGCUCCUGCCCUAGACGCUAGCUCGGGGACGUGUUCCCUCGGGGGGCGAUGGACUAGGCGACACCAGGGACUACGAGGGACGGUAUCUGCCACGCCGAGUCACCAUGAAGCUGCGAGUGAAAUCUUCUUCCAAGUCACUGCAUUCAAAGGGAUCCUCUGGCGAAGGAGACUUCUGCUUUGGGGAAAGAGGUGGAAGCAAAAAUCUCCUCUGGACGGAUUUUCUCUCCAGCCCCUGGCCUUCCAUCCUCCCUUCAGAGCCGAACCGGAAGUGCUGGUGUCCCUCACUCACGUCGUCCCCUCCCUCCGACUUACAAAGACCACCAAUGAUUACUUUAUUACAUAGUUUAAUUCGUCAUCCUUCUAAAGGUCUCAAAAGCAGUCUUCAUCCAUCUUGUGGAUUUGGGUUGUUACAGGCAACACUGGAGAGAAGCUAAUGCGAGAGCUGUAUGCUGCUCUUUAUUUUCAAGAGGACUCGUCGUGUGACAUCUCUCAGGCUGUGAGCAUCCUGGUGACUCCAGAUAAAUGAAACAUUUGAGCUUAAAAUAUAUAUUUGGCUACCGAGUGUAUAUAUUUUACUGUCAGGAAAUAGAAAAACAAAUCAGUAUAGGUCUCUUCAUCAGAUUUAGUUGAUUGAUGCCUAACAACUGUAAAACCCUACAAGCUUCAAAGUAUUAAGGCUUUCUAGAAUAAAUAACGUAGCUUCAUUACUUAUUUUACUAUAAAUAGGAUGUGCUUUGUUUUUGAAAAUAAGUUUCAAAGAAGUAGGACAUAUCUUAAGAUACACGGAAAUCUCGAGAUCCAAAAGAACAGAUUGUUUUUGAAGAAAAAUCAUUCAGUAUACAUUUUAAAUACAAGCAUUUGAUUUAGAAAAAAUUGUCAUUUUCAUCCUUGUCAUCAGUAUCACUGGCAUUAUCAUCACCAUCAAAAGCUAGUGUCCUAAGGCCAAAAGAACGUCGAACCAGGUCCUGCUGGAGCCAAACUGUUCAGAGGUCAAGGGCCAAGGCUCUGGUCUCAGCCCGC